CCAGGGGGCCGGGCAGCCGCGUCGCUCGCCAGAGCGCCGAGGAAAGUCCGGGCUCCACGAAACAAGGGUGGCGGGUAACACCCGCCGGGCCGGGAACUUCGGUUUCAGGCCAAGGGACAGUGCCACAGAGAGCAGACCGCCUCCGCGCGAGCGGCGGCAAGGGUGAAAGGGUGCGGCAAGAGCGCACCGGGGUCCUGGCAACAGGGCCCGCACGGCAAACCCCACCCGGAGCAAGGCCAAAUAGGGGCCUCGCGCCCCCACGGGGGCAGGGAUGUUUCGUCCCGAGAGGCCCGGGUUGGCUGCUUGAGCGCACGUGGCAACACGUCGCCUAGAUGAAUGGCUGCCCCGGCGGCGCUGGUCCCCUGGGAUACCGGCCGCCGGACAGAACCCGGCUUACAGGCCCCCUGGUAAC
This 412-nucleotide RNase P RNA is filed under the name Tsuneonella aeria. RNAcentral's name for it is "Bacterial RNase P class A". It matches the Rfam family "Bacterial RNase P class A". Rfam says of the family: Ribonuclease P (RNase P) is a ubiquitous endoribonuclease, found in archaea, bacteria and eukarya as well as chloroplasts and mitochondria. Its best characterised activity is the generation of mature 5'-ends of tRNAs by cleaving the 5'-leader elements of precursor-tRNAs. The record is from Rfam by way of RNAcentral. Lineage: Bacteria; Pseudomonadati; Pseudomonadota; Alphaproteobacteria; Sphingomonadales; Erythrobacteraceae.